This 2901-nucleotide ribosomal RNA is filed under the name Escherichia coli. RNAcentral's name for it is "bacterial LSU rRNA". It matches the Rfam family "Bacterial large subunit ribosomal RNA". The record is from RNAcentral. Lineage: Bacteria; Pseudomonadati; Pseudomonadota; Gammaproteobacteria; Enterobacterales; Enterobacteriaceae.
UUAAGCGACUAAGCGUACACGGUGGAUGCCCUGGCAGUCAGAGGCGAUGAAGGACGUGCUAAUCUGCGAUAAGCGUCGGUGAGGUGAUAUGAACCGUUAUAACCGGCGAUUUCCGAAUGGGGAAACCCAGUGUGUUUCGACACACUAUCAUUAACUGAAUCCAUAGGUUAAUGAGGCGAACCGGGGGAACUGAAACAUCUAAGUACCCGAGGAAAAGAAAUCAACCGAGAUUCCCCCAGUAGCGGCGAGCGAACGGGGAGGAGCCCAGAGCCUGAAUCAGUGUGUGUGUUAGUGGAAGCGUCUGGAAAGGCGCGCGAUACAGGGUGACAGCCCCGUACACAAAAAUGCACAUAUUGUGAGCUCGAUGAGUAGGGCGGGACACGUGGUAUCCUGUCUGAAUAUGGGGGGACCAUCCUCCAAGGCUAAAUACUCCUGACUGACCGAUAGUGAACCAGUACCGUGAGGGAAAGGCGAAAAGAACCCCGGCGAGGGGAGUGAAAAAGAACCUGAAACCGUGUACGUACAAGCAGUGGGAGCCUCUUAAUGGGGUGACUGCGUACCUUUUGUAUAAUGGGUCAGCGACUUAUAUUCUGUAGCAAGGUUAACCGAAUAGGGGAGCCGAAGGGAAACCGAGUCUUAACUGGGCGUUAAGUUGCAGGGUAUAGACCCGAAACCCGGUGAUCUAGCCAUGGGCAGGUUGAAGGUUGGGUAACACUAACUGGAGGACCGAACCGACUAAUGUUGAAAAAUUAGCGGAUGACUUGUGGCUGGGGGUGAAAGGCCAAUCAAACCGGGAGAUAGCUGGUUCUCCCCGAAAGCUAUUUAGGUAGCGCCUCGUGAAUUCAUCUCCGGGGGUAGAGCACUGUUUCGGCAAGGGGGUCAUCCCGACUUACCAACCCGAUGCAAACUGCGAAUACCGGAGAAUGUUAUCACGGGAGACACACGGCGGGUGCUAACGUCCGUCGUGAAGAGGGAAACAACCCAGACCGCCAGCUAAGGUCCCAAAGUCAUGGUUAAGUGGGAAACGAUGUGGGAAGGCCCAGACAGCCAGGAUGUUGGCUUAGAAGCAGCCAUCAUUUAAAGAAAGCGUAAUAGCUCACUGGUCGAGUCGGCCUGCGCGGAAGAUGUAACGGGGCUAAACCAUGCACCGAAGCUGCGGCAGCGACACUAUGUGUUGUUGGGUAGGGGAGCGUUCUGUAAGCCUGUGAAGGUGGCCUGUGAGGGUUGCUGGAGGUAUCAGAAGUGCGAAUGCUGACAUAAGUAACGAUAAAGCGGGUGAAAAGCCCGCUCGCCGGAAGACCAAGGGUUCCUGUCCAACGUUAAUCGGGGCAGGGUGAGUCGACCCCUAAGGCGAGGCCGAAAGGCGUAGUCGAUGGGAAACAGGUUAAUAUUCCUGUACUUGGUGUUACUGCGAAGGGGGGACGGAGAAGGCUAUGUUGGCCGGGCGACGGUUGUCCCGGUUUAAGCGUGUAGGCUGGUUUUCCAGGCAAAUCCGGAAAAUCAAGGCUGAGGCGUGAUGACGAGGCACUACGGUGCUGAAGCGACAAAUGCCCUGCUUCCAGGAAAAGCCUCUAAGCAUCAGGUAACAUCAAAUCGUACCCCAAACCGACACAGGUGGUCAGGUAGAGAAUACCAAGGCGCUUGAGAGAACUCGGGUGAAGGAACUAGGCAAAAUGGUGCCGUAACUUCGGGAGAAGGCACGCUGAUAUGUAGGUGAAGCGACUUGCUCGUGGAGCUGAAAUCAGUCGAAGAUACCAGCUGGCUGCAACUGUUUAUUAAAAACACAGCACUGUGCAAACACGAAAGUGGACGUAUACGGUGUGACGCCUGCCCGGUGCCGGAAGGUUAAUUGAUGGGGUUAGCGGUAACGCGAAGCUCUUGAUCGAAGCCCCGGUAAACGGCGGCCGUAACUAUAACGGUCCUAAGGUAGCGAAAUUCCUUGUCGGGUAAGUUCCGACCUGCACGAAUGGCGUAAUGAUGGCCAGGCUGUCUCCACCCGAGACUCAGUGAAAUUGAACUCGCUGUGAAGAUGCAGUGUACCCGCGGCAAGACGGAAAGACCCCGUGAACCUUUACUAUAGCUUGACACUGAACAUUGAGCCUUGAUGUGUAGGAUAGGUGGGAGGCUUUGAAGUGUGGACGCCAGUCUGCAUGGAGCCGACCUUGAAAUACCACCCUUUAAUGUUUGAUGUUCUAACGUGGGCCCCUUACCGGGGUUGCGGACAGUGUCUGGUGGGUAGUUUGACUGGGGCGGUCUCCUCCUAAAGAGUAACGGAGGAGCACGAAGGUUGGCUAAUCCUGGUCGGACAUCAGGAGGUUAGUGCAAUGGCAUAAGCCAGCUUGACUGCGAGCGUGACGGCGCGAGCAGGUGCGAAAGCAGGUCAUAGUGAUCCGGUGGUUCUGAAUGGAAGGGCCAUCGCUCAACGGAUAAAAGGUACUCCGGGGAUAACAGGCUGAUACCGCCCAAGAGUUCAUAUCGACGGCGGUGUUUGGCACCUCGAUGUCGGCUCAUCACAUCCUGGGGCUGAAGUAGGUCCCAAGGGUAUGGCUGUUCGCCAUUUAAAGUGGUACGCGAGCUGGGUUUAGAACGUCGUGAGACAGUUCGGUCCCUAUCUGCCGUGGGCGCUGGAGAACUGAGGGGGGCUGCUCCUAGUACGAGAGGACCGGAGUGGACGCAUCACUGGUGUUCGGGUUGUCAUGCCAAUGGCACUGCCCGGUAGCUAAAUGCGGAAGAGAUAAGUGCUGAAAGCAUCUAAGCACGAAACUUGCCCCGAGAUGAGUUCUCCCUGACUCCUUGAGAGUCCUGAAGGAACGUUGAAGACGACGACGUUGAUAGGCCGGGUGUGUAAGCGCAGCGAUGCGUUGAGCUAACCGGUACUAAUGAACCGUGAGGCUUAACCUU